AGUGAACGCUGGCGGUAGGCCUAACACAUGCAAGUCGAACGGCAGCACAGUAAGAGCUUGCUCUUACGGGUGGCGAGUGGCGGACGGGUGAGGAAUACAUCGGAAUCUACUUUUUCGUGGGGGAUAACGUAGGGAAACUUACGCUAAUACCGCAUACGACCUACGGGUGAAAGCAGGGGAUCUUCGGACCUUGCGCGAUUGAAUGAGCCGAUGUCGGAUUAGCUAGUUGGCGGGGUAAAGGCCCACCAAGGCGACGAUCCGUAGCUGGUCUGAGAGGAUGAUCAGCCAAAUGGGAAUGGAGACACGGCCCAGCUCCCUACGGGAGGAAGAGGGGGGGAAUUUUGGCAAAGGGGGGCAAGCCUGCUCCAGCCAUACCGGGGGGGGGAAAAAGGCCUUCGGUUUGUAAAGCCCUUUUUUGGGGAAAAAAAAGCAGCAGGUUAAUCCCCCGCUGUUCUGCCGGUCCCAAAAAAAAAAGCACCGGUUAACUUCGU
RNAcentral lists this ribosomal RNA (491 nucleotides) under uncultured bacterium. RNAcentral's name for it is "partial 16S ribosomal RNA". It matches the Rfam family "Bacterial small subunit ribosomal RNA", at positions 29 to 506 of the family's 1533-position model. The record is from RNAcentral.